This 454-nucleotide long non-coding RNA is filed under the name Ananas comosus (pineapple). RNAcentral's name for it is "long non-coding RNA (ACOM_LNC030932)". The record is from RNAcentral. Lineage: Eukaryota; Viridiplantae; Streptophyta; Magnoliopsida; Poales; Bromeliaceae.
UUGGUCCAACUUGUGUCACUUUACCGUGCUAUGCUGCACUGCUUGUCAGAUCGUUGGUGUUAAUCAUUAAUUUCAAAAAUUUGAGUGGUUAGAAAUAUACAAUCAAUUCACUUAAAGUGUAUAGAUACAGCACUUACGGGUCUCGAUUGUGACUUGAUCCAACCCGCCUCACGCCACUUUCAACAUGAUUCGACCCACCGAGCCUAACGCCAUUUCGAACAUGACUCGGCCCAACGUAGCCUUCCGCCACAGGGUAGGAUGUUGGCUCAUUUAAGCCAACACUGCUAACUCGAUUCAAAUCCGAAUUUACGGCUUAUUUGACUCAGUUAUUUUUUAUUAUUUUGAAACGCAAUUAUUUGUAAUUUCUGUAUUUUCUGCUAUGAUUUGAAAUUUUAUGUUUGAAAGUAAAAUCUAUGAUUUGAACUUUUAAUUCUGCUGUAGAGGGCUAUCAGAA